Molecule: unclassified non-coding RNA, 1079 nt
Filed under: Hevea brasiliensis (rubber tree)
Lineage: Eukaryota; Viridiplantae; Streptophyta; Magnoliopsida; Malpighiales; Euphorbiaceae
Source: RNAcentral
GGGUGGACCAACUGGGAUUUUCAUAGGUUGGUUUCAUUUAAACUCAGUUGUCUGGGUGGUUUCAGUAGUCAAAUGUACUUUCUGUUUAUGUCCUUUUCUUUUGCAUGUUUGUACCUUGUCUGGUGUUGUUUCCACUGCAAAUAAUGGUGCCUUCACUAGCAUCAGAACUAGGGUAAUCUGCAGCAUUUUAGUUUGAUUUCUCACUUUUCUUUUGCAAAGACAUGGUUUGUUUGCUGUUUGUCAACAGCUUUACUUUUUCGUUACCCAUACUUUGAUCGAUGAUUCUAUCAGGCCAAAUAGAAAAUGAUUGUAUGUUAACACCUUCUUUUAAUUAAAUUACUGAGUAGCAUAGCAUUUAAAAUGGUUCCAUUAAGCCUUUCUUCUGAAUCUCAUUUAUAUGUUUUCUGUUGUGUUGUGCCAGUUUUGACCGUUUAGAGCAGUAAGAUUAAAUACCAUCUCCAUAUUUCCUAACCAUAUACAGAGCCUGUUAUUAGUUUGGCUAAUGGGGCUAUAAUUUAUGGUCCAAGGACGUGCCUUUGUAUUCCUUGUCUUGCACUUCAUGUCAUUAAAUCUUUGUUCUUCAUGAUUUUGAAAUUUGGUAGUGGUGGCCUGAUUUUGACAAAUCAAACUCUUUUAGAGUAGUUAGCUGAUUUUCAUGAUAUUGGAAUAGAAAGUCCUGUGCUUAAACCACUAGACCUGCCAAUUUCACAUAUAAAACUUAUUAUUACAUGCGGUGGAGUGGAACUUAUAUAAUGUUGGAUGUAGUAAAAAACAAGUAAUUUUAAGUUGGAGCAAUAAUAGAAAUUUUAGAAAUUAGCCUUAACUGCGUAUAAAAGUUACAAAUGUUAGAAGUUUUGGUUCUAUGAGGCACAACCUCUGCCAAGCAAUGUCAUUCUGCAUUUUCAAUUUUUCAGCGGUACUGAUGAUUCUUUUAAAAUGAUAACUUCAGCAGAAAAUGGUGACGGAUGUAUUGCUUUAUUAGUGAUGGAAUAGAAUGUUUUGCUUUAACUUAGCAAGUCUUAUGUAAUAUUGUAAAUUUACAUUAAUAUCUUUCCAGAAUUUUUCAACGCCUGAGGACC